AACGAACGCUGGCGGCAUGCCUAACACAUGCAAGUCGAACGAGAUCUUCGGGUCUAGUGGCGCACGGGUGCGUAACGCGUGGGAAUCUGCCCUUUGGUUCGGAAUAACAGUUGGAAACGACUGCUAAUACCGGAUGAUGACGAAAGUCCAAAGAUUUAUCGCCAGAGGAUGAGCCCGCGUAGGAUUAGCUAGUUGGUGUGGUAAAGGCGCACCAAGGCGACGAUCCUUAGCUGGUCUGAGAGGAUGAUCAGCCACACUGGGACUGAGACACAGCCCAGACUCCUACGGGAGGCAGCAGUGCGGAAUAUUGGACAAUGGGCGAAAGCCUGAUCCAGCAAUGCCGCGUGAGUGAUGAAGGCCUUAGGGUUGUAAAGCUCUUUUACCCGGGAUGAUAAUGACAGUACCGGGAGAAUAAGCUCCGGCUAACUCCGUGCCAGCCGCCGCAGUAA
Molecule: ribosomal RNA, 449 nt
Filed under: uncultured bacterium
Lineage: Bacteria
Description: partial 16S ribosomal RNA
Rfam family: Bacterial small subunit ribosomal RNA
Source: RNAcentral